UCUCCGUUGGUGAACCAGCGGAGGGAUCAUUACCGAGUUUACAACUCCCAAACCCCUGUGAACAUACCAUUUGUAGCCUCGGCGGUGCCUGCUUCGGCAGCCCGCCAGAGGACCCAAACCCUUGAUUUUAUACAGUAUCUUCUGAGUAAAUGAUUAAAUAAAUCAAAACUUUCAACAACGGAUCUCUUGGUUCUG
This 195-nucleotide unclassified non-coding RNA is filed under the name plant metagenome. RNAcentral's name for it is "partial contains small subunit ribosomal RNA, internal transcribed spacer 1, and 5.8S ribosomal RNA". The record is from RNAcentral.